AUAUUCGCUCGUAAACCGAACGACUGCGGUCGUUGCCCUGAGGCGUCGGGUCCGUCGGGACCCGCUGUCCUCGUGCUGCGACGGCGUCCGUGAGGAAUGC
This 100-nucleotide unclassified non-coding RNA is filed under the name Hillia triflora. RNAcentral's name for it is "partial external transcribed spacer". The record is from RNAcentral. Lineage: Eukaryota; Viridiplantae; Streptophyta; Magnoliopsida; Gentianales; Rubiaceae.